UCUGAUCGGAUUUUAGCGUCGGAAGGAUCUUUUCCGCAAAUCAAUCUAAAGACGAAGUUGAAAUACAUGUCAUCGGCAAUGUCGUUGAAGUUAGCUUUCCCCUUUCUGGAAACAUCGUCUUCUAUGGUGGAGAAGAGGUCCGGCAAGCCGCUACGGAAGACGGGAAUGAAGUCGCGAUGGCGAGAUGCGAGUAGAGAGAAGGAGAAGCGUUUGAGAAGAUCGUGUUUGGGUUCGGAGGGGUCGAGAUAUGGAAGGACGCGGUACCCGCCUGUUAAGUCGGUGGAGGGCAUGAAAGUCCCGACGAAGACGUUUCUCUUCUCGACUUUGGAGGAGUCGAAAAGAACGGGAAAGCUGACGGUGUCGAGAAGAACAACCACCUUGGAGUCGGAAGAGAUGAAGGGGCCUGGCGGCAUGUUGGCUCUGAAGACUGUGGAAUGAUAUUUCUGCAUCCGGGUUUUGAAGAACUCAUCCUGCCCUUGAUUGUAAAAGUAGUCGAAACGAUUCCUUAUGGGACCAAAGAAGGGUAAUCCAUAAUCUCCUGGAAUUUUCCGUAACGGAAGCUCUGGUCGAGAAGAGGAAGAAGAAGAAGACGAGGAUGACAUUGCGAAAAUCCGGAAGGGGUGGGGUACUGCAACAGCAAUGGAUUGAAGAAUGGUGAUAGAAGAAUGACAGAUCCAGAAGGUAUUAUUCGUAGGUGAAAGAUAUCAAAAUUGUUCUACAAAUAAAAAGGAAUGCAGACUUGGAACGACACGCAACCGUGCUCGCCACCGCUGUAGAUGUCUGCAAUUUAUUGAGCAGUUGAAGUAUUCAAAGGACACACACCAUUGAUAAGCAAAGCCAUGGCGUUGAAUGGCUUCAACACACUAAUAAAUUAUGAAGGAUGGUGCAAUUAUUCACCACCUUUUCUAUCAUACGCUUACACUAUGACUGUUGUUCGAACGUGAUCAGAUCAAAUUUUUUUAUCAUAUUUGUUGACCGCAUGAACGUGAUUGAAAUUUGAGUAAAUAUAAAUAAGUUAGAAUCAAAUUGGACUCAACCCUACAUAAUUCGUUUAAAAAUGGAUAGUUUUUCUACCAACCUAUAUAACACGACUCAAAUCUACUCCUUUAAUAAUCUGAUUGAUUAACCUAAUUAUAUUUUUAAAUUAUUUAAUUUAUUUUAAAUUUUCUUUUUAAAUAAACAUGUCAAUUGAGUCAUAAACAUGUAUAGUUCAAACAUUAACCAUAAAAAUAUAUUAUCAAAUAUGAAGAUUUAAUUAUUAAAUGGGUUAAAUAGGUUACAUACAAUAUAUUAACUGUUUAAUAAUUAUGAAGUAUUUGAAUUUAUAUUUUUCACAUUAUUAUUAUUUAUGUCAAAUUUGAAUUGGCUUAUAUAGUAGAAUACUUAGUCUUUAACAUGAUAUGAACAGAACCCACAAAUACGAAUUAUCACCCUUUAUAUUACCUAAAUUUAUUCGAAUUUGAAAAAAUAAUAAUAAUACAAACUCAUCAUUAAUUAGUUUAUUUUAAUCCUAAACUUAUUUUAUUAUUAACUACAUUGGUGGCAUGCUUGAAAAAACCCGCAAUAUUAUCAUCCCUAGUCAUAUAUACAAUUGAAUUAGUAGACCGAUAAGAUAUUAUCAUUUUCUGAUUUAGUCAAUUAAGCAAUCCACCGCCAUGAAGAGUCUUUGCCAAUGGGAAAUGAAGUAUUGAAAUGCAUGGCCCCACUGGUGUGAAGGUUGGCAAAGCAGCUUGCAGAUCUCCAUCAUAUUUAUAUUUGUAAUAACCUAACUUUUGCCUCUUAAAUUAGAUUGUCCAAACGGCAAGUCUCAAUAUAUUGAGUUAUAUAUUUCGAUUUUAAAUUCUAAAUUUCAAUCGUCCCUCUUUAGAAGAAAGAUCUCAAUCUCCCCUUUAUAUAUAUAUAUAUAUUUAGGGGGCAUUCAAACAUCCCUCUCAAGGUUCAAAUGUUGGAUCUUCUAAUGGCAGUUUUUUCAACCAAUUUUUUCAUAUCUUUUAACUAUAAUAAAGAUAAUAUAAUUUUUUUAUGAAAAAAAGGAAAUUGAUGUGGCUGCUACCAAUCAUAGAUGAUUUCAACAUGAAAGUAAUGAAUUUUUCAUCCUCUUAUUAAUUGAUUAAGAUUUAAGACCAAAUAAAGCGUAAAGAGGACAUUUUCUUUUCUUUUCUUUUCUUUUUGAAAGCAAUGUGCUUUGGGAUUUUAGAUAGAUUUUUGGUUUUUUAACUUAUUAUUUAUUUCUUAAAUUUUUUAUUGAAUAAAAAAAAUUAAAAUAUUUGACUUUUUCUAAAUGCUAAAAGUGAACUACCAUAAUUAUAGUGAACCUAUUAAUUUUUUUUACUUCUUAACAAUGUUUUCAGAACCGGACCAAUGAUCGAACCGGAAAAAUUAUCGGUUCACGGUUCACUGGUCGGAUAUAAAAUAAUAUUAUUGAUGUCAUAAAUAUAUAAUUUAUAUUUUAUUAAAAUUAAAAAUAAUUAUAAAAAUUUUAAAAUAUAUAUGAAUAAAUUAAACAUCAAUAAUAUUAUUUUAUAUCUUUGAUAUUAUCAAAUUAAAUCAUAUUAAUAUUUUAAAUUUUAUUAAAUGAAAUAUGUGUAAUAUUUAAAUGUGAAUAUAUAAAAAAAUGAAAAUUUAAAAUAAUUUCAUAAUUUUUAAAAAUAUUAUAUUAUUUUUAUUUAAUAUUAUAAAAAAAUUUAAAAUCUAAUAUGUGUUGUCUUGUUUGGCAUAUUAAAUAAUAAAAUCCAUGUAGCCGAGUGGUGUUCUAUGUGGACUUUAGUAUAGGGGUGGUCCAAGGUUCAAACCUUCUUGGAGUUUUGUUAUGUUUUUUUUCUUUGAUAUUUAGCAAUCCCACAUCGGCAAGAAAGAGGAACAAGGAGUCAAAUGACUCCUAUAAAAGCCAUCCUCAGCAAAGGCUUAAGAUAGGCUUGGGGGCUCAAAACUCAGCCCACAUAAAGUGGAAUGGGUAUGUGGGUUGUGGGCUGUGUCAUAAGACAGGCCCAACAUCCUUUAGUAAAAUCCAUUUUAAGUUCCAUGGAAUCCUUGGUAAUGUUUUCAUUUUCUAAUUUUUUUUUUAGAGAAAAAUUAAAAUCUUUUGAAUUGAUCGGUUUUUUUGGAACCGGCUGGUUCGUCCGGUUCACCGGUUGAACCAUCGGUUAGAACGGUUUUACCCCGGUUCGAUCUCAAUCCGGUCCAAAUGACCGGAUCAGAUCGGAAUGAUGAUCGGCCGAUGGUUGGACCGGUUCGACCGGCCGAUCCAGUCCGAUUUUUAAAACAUUACUUCUUAAUGCUUAAUAGAAAUACAAUAUUAAAAGAAACAUCAUCUUAUCUAAAAAUCAAUUGGUAUUCAAUAAAGGUAGGUCAAAUCUUUUAUAACAUUCGACAUCACAUUUUGUCGAUUCUAAGAACCAUCAUUUGAGUGACCCAUCUGUGGACAUAAGAGCUCUCCCCCAACAUGAUGCUUUCUUUACUUUUAGCUUUGAUAUUCAUUAUUAGAUCGAGAUUUAACCAUCUUAUUUGAAAAUCAAUUGGUAUUCAAUGAAAGUAAGUUAAACUUUUUAUUACAUUCAACAUCACAUUUCAUAGGCAUAUUCUAAGAAUCAUCAUUUAGGUGAUCAUCCUUGAGCUUAAGAGCAGUAUUAGUGCACCCUAACAAAGUAAAAAAAAAUGAAAAAAAAAAUAAACAUAGUUUAUCUGACACUGUGUGCUCUAGUUUUUCCAAUGUUUUAAAAAUCAGACCAGACCGGCCGAUCCGACCGGUCCAACCGUCGACCGGUCACCGUUCCGGUCUGAUCCGGUCAUUUGGACCGGAUUGAGAUCGACGGGGUUGAACCGCUCGAACCGACGGUUCAACUGGUGAACCGGACGAACCGAUCGAUUCAAAUGAUUUUAAUUUUUUUUUUUUAAAUUACAAAAUGAAAAUAUUACCCUCUCAUUGUAAGCAUGGAAAGAAGGAUUCCAUAAAAUUUAAAUGGUUUUUACUAAAGCACAUGUUGGGUCUGUCUUAUGACACCGUCCACAUACCCACUCCAAUUACUGUGGGCUGAGUUUUGAGCCCACAAAACCUAGGAGUCAUUUGACUCUUUGUGCCUCUCAUUUUCCGAUGUGGGAUUGCUAAAUAUCAACGAAAAAAAACAUAACAAAACUCCACCAAGAGAGUUUGAACCUUGGACUACUCCUGUACUAUAGUCCACCUAGGACACCACUCAGCUACAUGUAUUUUAUUAUCUAAUAUGCCAAACAAAACAAUAUAUAUUAGAUUUUUAAUUUUUUUUAUAAUAUUAAAUAAAAAUAAUAUAAUAUUUUUAAAAAUUAUGAAAUUAGUUUAAAUUUUCAUUUUUUUAUAUGUUCACAUUUAAAUAUUAUACAUAUUUCAUUUAAUAAAAUUUAAAAUAUUAAUAUGAUUUAAUUUGAUAAUAUCAAAGAUAUAAAAUAAUAUUAUUGAUGUUUAAUUUAUUCAUAUAUAUUUAAAAAAAAUUUAUAAUUAUUUUUAAUUUUAAUAAUAUAUAAAUUUUAUAUUUAUGACGUCACCGAUUUGAUAAUGGUUCGACCGUUGGUCUGACCAGUGAACCGUGAACCGGUAACUUUUCCGGUUCGAUCACCGGUCCGAUUAUGAAAACAUUGAGUUUUUCUAAUUCUACAACAAGUUCUGCUUCACUGCUCUCCUGUCCUGCUACUGGCACUAUAGUUCUUAUUGUUGACAACAUAGUUUCCACACCUUGCACACAUGUUGUUCAGCCUAUUAUUGCUACUAUGUCUCAACCUCUUCUCCACACUUCUACCAAUAUUAAUUCUAUGCAGACAAGGUCUAAAAGUGGCAUCUACAAACCUAAGGUUUACACAAUUGUUGUUGCUUUACUAGAUCACUUCCAAAAGCCCUCUAGUGUUCGACAAGCUUUACAAUUACCUCACUGGAAAACGAUAAUGGAGGUUGAAUAUUCUGCCCUUGUUCACAAUGGUACUUGGCGACUGGUUCCUAAAACUGAAAGAAUGCAUAUUGUCCUAAACAAAUGGAUCUUUAAAACCAAGUUGAAGGCUGAUGGUUCUUUGGAUAAAUUCAAAGCUAGAUGGGUUGCUAAGGGGUUUCAACAACAUGCUGGUGUAGAUUUCUCAGACACAUUCAGUCCAGUUGUCAAAGCCUCUAGUAUUCGGAUAAUUUUUACUCUUGUUAUCGCUUACAAUUGGGACAUACAGCAAAUCGAUAUCAAUAAUGCCUUUCUAAAUGGCAUUCUUCAUGAAGAUGUCUAUAUGUGUCAACCUGAAGCGUUUGUUAGUUCUACUCAUCCUACUCAUGUCUGCAAGUUGAUUAAGUCACUCUAUGGGCUUAAACAAGCUCCUCGAGCUUGGUUUGUUCAACUUCGCAGUGCUCUAGUCUCAUGGGGAUUUCGGCCUUCCAUUUCUGAUAAUUUCUUAUUUCACUCUCGGGAGAAUGGUCAUUUGGCUUUGGUAUUAGUAUAUGUUGAUGAUGUCCUAAUAAUUAGCGACAGUUCCACACUCAUUCAUUCUGUGAUUUAGGCUCUCACUUCUCGGUUUGCUUUGAAGACUCUUAGUUCUAUUAAUUACUUUCUUGGAUUUGAAGCAUUUAGAGAUAGUUCCGGUCUCUAUCUCAAUCAGGCCAAAUAUAUUUCUGAUUUACUUGUCAAGACAAACAUGGUUCAUGUUAAAUCAUCCUCUACACCAAUGGCUCUUGGUCAGAAACUUGCUCUUGAAGACAGUGCUCAUUUUCCUGAUGUCACCUUGUAUUGCAGCACCAUCAGUGCUCUCCAAUACUUAACUUUAACUCGGCCUGACAUAUCUUUCUCGGUUAAUAAGUUGAGCCAAUUUCUUAAGGCUCCUACACAACAUCAUUGGAGUGCUUGUAAAUGUCUCUUGCACUAUGUUAGUGGUACUCGAACUCUUGGUUUAUCUUUUCCACCUAUUACUCGAUUUACACUUGAAGGCUUCUUGGAUGCGGAUUGGGUGUGUAAUGUUGAUGACAGAAGAUCUACGACCUAUUAUUGUGAUUUUCUUGGUGGCAAUUUAGUAACUUGGAGUUCUUGUAAACAAUAGGUCAUUGCAAGGUCCAGUACUGAAUCCGAGUAUCGGACACUGGCUAGUGUUACUAUGGAAUUAAUUUGGAUAAAAUCUUUACUGGAUGAACUUCAACUUCCAUUACAGCAUCAUCCCAUAGCUUGGUAUGAUAACCUGGAUGUGCAUGCUCUUUCCUACAAUCCUGUUUAUCAUUCACGCACUAAACAUAUUGAGGUAGAUGUCUAUUUCAUUCGAGAAAAGAUUCUCCACCCUACUCUUGAAGUUCGUUAUAUACCCUCUCAAGAACAACCAGUAGACCUGUUUACUAAGUCUUUGUCUCUUUCUCAGUUUCAGUUUCUGUGUUCCAAGCUUUCAAUUUCCUAUCCUCUAUUCAGCUUGUGAUGGGAUGUCGAACAGCAAAACUAGUUGUACUAGAAACAAACUAGUUGUACUAGAAACAAACUAGUUGUACCAGUUUCUGUUAUUAGAUGGUUGUUAAGCUGAUUAGUUUGGUUGUUAGUUAUAUUGUUAUUGAGAAAAUAAAAGUUAUGCUUAAAGGAGAAAAACACCCAAGAGGGAAGGGGGGAGGGGGUAAAUUGGGUUUUUUUUUUUAAACUUUUUCAAUACAACAAAUUCAAGUAUAAUAUAAACAAGAAAUAAAGAGAUAGAGUUAGAGAAUUCAAACUCAGGUUUUAUAGUGGUUCGAUACUUCCUUGUCUACGUCCACUCUCUUCAAUCUCCUAAUCGAGUGAGGGUUCCACUAGCUUGAAGCUUCAACCAAGUCUCCGAUCUUUUACAUUUGGAUUCCGAUUCCAAUAAGCUCUUACACAAUCUCUUCAAGAUUCACAUCUCUUGAAGUCUUUAAUACUCAAAAUUUACAAGAAAGAAUCCCUCAACCUAGCUCAAAGAUAGCUCAAAUACAAAACAAAGUUAGGAUGACUCACAAUGGUGCACUAAAAGAUAUGCAAGUGAUGGUUUAAUGCACUAAGAAAGAAAUGAGAGUUUUUAAGCUAAGAACAGGUAGAUAGACAAUUGAUUGCAGGUGUUCUCUAUCUCAUAAAUGAAGUAGAGCUCUCAAUUUAUAGGUUUCUAAGCUCGGGAGCCAAAAAUAGCAAAAGGCAUCUUCGACCAGUCGAGUUGAGGGUCGAUCAGUUCACUAGCCCUUGGAGCAUUUAAUGUUUUGGUAGGUUAUUGUUGCCUCGAUCAGAGGUCGACCGGGAAGGGGUGAACCUCAACCGGGAAGAGGAAGCUACUGGAUGAGAGAGAGUGUUUUUGGCACUCCUUGAUCAAACCUCGAUCGGACAAAGGCAACCGAUCGACCGGUUCCCCAACCGGUUGAGCCGGUUGACCAGAGCCUCGACUAAUUCAGCCUUUUGGCCCCGAAAACCUAUCCUUUUCAAUUCCUUUCUUUUCUAACACUUAGGCAAGGUCUUUAGGUAAAUUAGUAUGUCAAUUUUAAAACGUUUUUCCUAAGGUACAUUUAAUAAAACUCGGGUUUUAAUGAAAUCGAAAUUUUAAAGAAUAAACCGAGUUUUCAAAGAUGCAUGAAAAGAUAUGAAAAACCUAAGUGCACCCAUGCAUUCAUCUUACAUUCGUUUCCUAUGAUCAAAAGUCUUCCAAUAGUCUCAAUCUUGUAUCCCUUGGUCCUUUGAUAAAUUUUCGAAUUUAUACCUGAGAUUCUUUAUCAUUCAAACCAAUUAGUCACUUAACCAUGAUUUGUUAUCAUUAAAAUCCGAUUGGGAGAACCCUUGAGCUAACAGUUAUCCUUUGUAUAUUAUAUAUAUACCAUUCAUAAUGAAGAGAAAUACAUCUCUUCAGCUCAAAUAUACAAAGUUGUUAUUCUGUUAAGUCACAUGGACAAUAAAUAUAAAUAUUAAGAACAUUUAGGAAAAUGAUAAUCGAAAAUUAGUGCACUUACCGUUAUUACUAUUUUUUAAAAAGAAUAGAAAACGAGAAGUGUAUCAAAACAAAAACCAUAUCCAAAUGGACACUAAGUUUCUUUGUUAUUUGUUCUCAAUAAAGGUUUUCUGUUUUCUAGAACAAUAUAUAUAUAUAUAUAUAUAUAUAUAUAUAUAUAUAUAUAUAUAUAUAUAUAUAUGUAUUCGAUAAUCAAACAUUAUAAAAUAUGGUAUUUUCUAAUAAUAUAUUUUAGUUGUUUUUAUUUGUAUUUUAGAGUUAUUUUGAAAAAUAAUUAUACAAAUGUGGAGAAUGAUUAAAAUAAAAUAUUACAAAUAAGUUCUAUUUUUAAAAAUAUUUAAAAGUCUUUUAAAAAAUAAAUUAAAAACAAUUUAAGCUUUCAAACAAACUUUUAUUGCAUAAAAUAUUAGAGUAUAAUUUUCAAAAACAAUUCUUGAAAACUAUUUUUAAAAAGAAUUUCCAAAUAAAACUUUAAAUAUCUAUUUUUUUUAUUGCGUUAAUUUUGAGUUCACAUUCUUUUUUUCUUUUUCUUUUUUUUGUAUGUUACCUUAUUAUUUUAAUUAUAUGAGCAUGACUUUUUUAUCUUCCAUUUUUGGCAUUAAAUAUUCUACGAUAAAAAGACUCAUGUAGUAGUAAAAAAGAUACAUAGUAAAUUCAUGUUUCAUCCCAAAGAAAUGUUACAUUGAUUCGAAUCCAAAAAAUAAUUAAAAAAAAACACACACACACGUUAUCUUGUAAAACAUACAAAGCACACCGGACCAUACUUACACUUUAGAUCAAUGUAUUUGAACUGGAAGGAAUAUUAUGUUGACCAUGAUCAAGUGUAACUGGACUUGGUCAACGACUUGAAAAGCACAGCGGAUCCUAACACCAUGGUCCCAGACUCAACUUCGAAAGUAUCGUAACGAAGGAAAAUCUCCACCAGCAUUAACUUGGAGAUCAGCACCACCAGAUCCUUCCCUGAGCACUGUUUAUUCUCCGCCGUCGGAUUAUCCGUCUCUCGUCCAUUAGACCAGUACACGUACUUAAGCAAUUUCUCCCCCUCACCCAUAAACCGAUGGGCCACAAAAUCCUCAGGGUUCUCGAAAACCUUAGGAUCCUUAGUGGCAAAGGGUUGAUAUCCAAAGAUCAUCUCCCCUUUCUUGAUCUCAAACGCGGCAUCAUGGCUGUGGAUCACCAUAUCCUCCCUGGCCUUCCCAUACUGGAACGGAACCGGAGGCCCAAUCCUCAGAGCCUCAUAAACCACUGAUUUAGUCAAAGCCAUCUUAUCCAACGCUGCAAAUGUCACUCCUCCCUCAGCCUUAACAACGGUCCUUAUUUCAUCAGCGAGUUCGCGGUGUAGCUUCUCUCCUGCUAACCCAACCCACUUGAUCAAAGGGGGAAACAAAACCUUCAUGCCACCGAACGUACUGAAACCAGCUAGGAAUACAAGGUUGUGGCAAGCUUCAUCUCUAUUAAUCCCCAUUCUCUCACCUUCAUCCAAUACUGAAGAGGCCGAUUCGUAAAAGGCCUUAUAAAGCUUAUUAUAAUCGGACUUUACCAAGAAUGGUGGUAAGGGAAAUGUGUGUAGAAGCAAAUCUUCUAUGAAGUUUGGUAACAUGGACAACCCAAGAGUCAUGAGAGGAGAAAGUUGGAGGAACAGCCAUUUUGAGAAAAUAUUGGGUCCUUCUGAUCGGAUUUUAGCGUCGGAAGGAUCUUUUCCGCAAAUCAAUCUAAAGACGAAGUUGAAAUACAUGCCGUCGGCGAUGUUGUUGAAGUUAGCUUUCCCCUUGCUGGAAACAUCGUCUUCUAUGGUGGUGAAGAGGUCCGGCAAGCCGCUACGGAAGACGGGAAUGAAGUCGCGAUGGCGAGAUGCGAGUAGAGAGAAGG
This 9783-nucleotide long non-coding RNA is filed under the name Vitis vinifera (wine grape). RNAcentral describes it as "long non-coding RNA (VVIN_LNC000693)". The record is from RNAcentral. Lineage: Eukaryota; Viridiplantae; Streptophyta; Magnoliopsida; Vitales; Vitaceae.